Tupaia belangeri chinensis (Chinese tree shrew) is the source of this 400-nucleotide long non-coding RNA. RefSeq lists it as uncharacterized. NCBI's taxonomy places the organism in Eukaryota, Metazoa, Chordata, Mammalia, Scandentia, Tupaiidae. The transcript has 3 exons. The record is from RefSeq and is a predicted model, not a curated record.
UCCCAGCUCCACCAACGACUGCUGCUGUGACAUAAAAUAAGAAGCUGAAAAUUUUAUUUUUAAACAAUGUUCCGUGGAACAAAGGAAUCUUCAAGUUGAAAAUAGUACAAUAGAGACCGUUACCAACCUUUUGCAGCAACUGUAUUCUGUGAGAGGAUAGACAAAAGAAGAUGCAGUUCUUAAGAAGAACAUGUGACCCCCUAAGAGUAUAAAGGCUCCUGGAUACAGAGAAUGAGAAACUGCCCAGCCCAAAGUGCUCUCUUCUCCUGUUUCAGAGAGUGUUGUAAGAGUGAGCAAGAGAAAUAUAAAAUAGAAAUUUUGGACGCCUCUAAGUAUUUCUGGGGAUAAAGACCAGACUGACUGCUUUCUCUGACUGCUGUAGAUCCACACAUUAAGAUAU